RNAcentral lists this ribosomal RNA (600 nucleotides) under uncultured bacterium. RNAcentral's name for it is "bacterial SSU rRNA". It matches the Rfam family "Bacterial small subunit ribosomal RNA", at positions 88 to 691 of the family's 1533-position model. The record is from RNAcentral.
AUGGCGACCGGCAAACGGGUGCGGAAACGUACAGGACCCUCCUUCAAGCGGGGCAUAGCCCAGAGAAAUUUGGAUUAAUACCCCAUAAUAUACCGAAGAGCAUCUCUUUGUUAUAAGAAUUAUUCACUUGAAAGAUGGCUGUGCGGCUGAUUAGGUAGUUGGCGGGUAAACGGCACCAAGCCCGCGAUCAGUAACUGGUGUGAGAGCACGACCAGUCACACGGGCACUGAGACACGGGCCCGACUCCUACGGGAGGCAGCAGUAAGGAAUAUUGGUCAAUGGACGCAAGUCUGAACCAGCCAUGCCGCGUGGAGGAUGAAGGUCCUCUGGAUUGUAAACUUCUUUUAUAUGGGACGAAAAAAGGCCUUUCCAGGUCGUCUGACGGUACCAUAUGAAUAAGCACCGGCUAACUCCGUGCCAGCAGCCGCGGUAAUACGGAGGGUGCAAGCGUUAUCCGGAUUCACUGGGUUUAAAGGGUGCGUAGGUGGGUUGGUAAGUCAGUGGUGAAAUCCCCGGGCUUAACUUGGGAACUGCCAUUGAUACUAUCAAUCUUGAAUACCGUGGAGGUCGGCGGAAUAUGUCAUGUACGGUGAAAUGCUU